GAGUUUGAUCUUGGCUCAGGACGAACGCUGGCGGCGUGCUUAAUACAUGCAAGUCAACGAGAAACAGGGUGCUUGCAUCCUGUGGACAGUGGCGCACGGGUGCGUAACACGUAGGUAAUCUGCCCUUAGGACUGACAUAACUCCGGGAAACCGAAGCUAAUAUCAGAUAAUGCAGCGGCUCGGCAUCGAGACAGUUGUUAAAUCUUCGGAGCCUAAGGAUGAACCUGCGUCCCAUUAGGUAGUUGGUGAGGUAAAUGCUCACCAAGCCUGCGAUGGGUAGCUGGUCUGAGAGGAUGAUCAGCCACACUGGAACUGAGACACGGUCCAGACUCCUACGGGAGGCAGCAGUAAGGAAUAUUGCUCAAUGGGAGAAAUCCUGAAGCAGCAACGCCGCGUGGAGGAUGAAGGCAUAUUUGUUGUAAACUCCUGUAAGAAGGGAAAAUGGGUCUGUUUACAGACUUUGAUUGUACCUUCAGAGUAAGCCCCGGCUAACUACGU
Molecule: ribosomal RNA, 498 nt
Filed under: uncultured Campylobacterota bacterium
Lineage: Bacteria; Pseudomonadati; Campylobacterota
Description: bacterial SSU rRNA
Rfam family: Bacterial small subunit ribosomal RNA
Source: RNAcentral